Molecule: ribosomal RNA, 468 nt
Filed under: uncultured bacterium
Lineage: Bacteria
Description: partial 16S ribosomal RNA
Rfam family: Bacterial small subunit ribosomal RNA
Source: RNAcentral
GACGAACGCUGGCGGCGUGCUUAACACAUGCAAGUCGAACGGAAAGGCCCUGCUUUUGUGGGGUGCUCGAGUGGCGAACGGGUGAGUAACACGUGAGUAACCUGCCCUUGACUUUGGGAUAACUUCAGGAAACUGGGGCUAAUACCGGAUAGGAGCUCCUGCUGCAUGGUGGGGGUUGGAAAGUUUCGGCGGUUGGGGAUGGACUCGCGGCUUAUCAGCUUGUUGGUGGGGUAGUGGCUUACCAAGGCUUUGACGGGUAGCCGGCCUGAGAGGGUGACCGGCCACAUUGGGACUGAGAUACGGACCAGACUCCUACGGGAGGCAGCAGUAGGGAAUAUUGCACAAUGGGCGGAAGCCUGAUGCAGCAACGCCGCGUGCGGGAUGACGGCCUUCGGGUUGUAAACCGCUUUCGCCUGUGACGAAGCGUGAGUGACGGUAAUGGGUAAAGAAGCACCGGCUAACUACGUG